CAAUAGCGUAUAUUAAAGUUGUUGCGGUUAAAAAGCUCGUAGUUGGAUUUCUGCUGAGAACGACCGGUCCGCCCUUUGGGUGUGUAUCUGGCUCUUUCUUGGCAUCUUCUUGGUGAACGUUGCUGCACUUGACUGUGUGGAGCGCUACCCAGGACUUUUACUUUGAGGAAAUUAGAGUGUUUCAAGCAGGCAUACGCCUUGAAUACAUUAGCAUGGAAUAAUAAGAUAGGACCUCGGUUCUAUUUUGUUGGUUUCUAGAGCUGAGGUAAUGAUUAAUAGGGAUAGUUGGGGGCAUUCGUAUUUAACUGUCAGAGGUGGAAUUCUCAGAUUUGUUAAAGACUAACUUAUGCGAAAGCAUUUGCCAAGGAUGUUUUCAUUAA
Molecule: ribosomal RNA, 380 nt
Filed under: uncultured eukaryote
Lineage: Eukaryota
Description: partial 18S ribosomal RNA
Rfam family: Eukaryotic small subunit ribosomal RNA
Source: RNAcentral